GACGAACGCUGGCGGCGUGCUUAACACAUGCAAGUCGAACGGAAAGGCCCUGCUUUUGUGGGGUGCUCGAGUGGCGAACGGGUGAGUAACACGUGAGUAACCUGCCCUUGACUUUGGGAUAACUUCAGGAAACUGGGGCUAAUACCGGAUAGGAGCUCCUGCUGCAUGGUGGGGGUUGGAAAGUUUCGGCGGUUGGGGAUGGACUCGCGGCUUCUCAGCUUGUUUGUGGGGUAGUGGCUUACCAAGGCUUUGACGGGUAGCCGGCCUGAGAGGGUGACCGGGGAAAAUGGGAAUGAGAUAGGGCGCAGACGGGAACGGGAGGCAGGAGUGGGGAAUAGUGCACAAUGGGCGGAAGCGUGAUGAAGCAAGGCCGCGUGCGGGAUGACGGCCUUCGGGUUGUAAAACGAUUUAGAAUGUGAAGAAGAGUGAGUGACGGUAAUGGGUAAAGAAGCAACGGCUAACUACGUG
RNAcentral lists this ribosomal RNA (468 nucleotides) under uncultured bacterium. RNAcentral's name for it is "partial 16S ribosomal RNA". It matches the Rfam family "Bacterial small subunit ribosomal RNA", at positions 28 to 507 of the family's 1533-position model. The record is from RNAcentral.